GAGGGUAUGGCUCAGUGGUAGAGUACAUGCUUAGCAUGCAUGAGGUCCUGGGUUCAAUCCCCAGUACCUCCA
Molecule: transfer RNA, 72 nt
Filed under: Vicugna pacos (alpaca)
Lineage: Eukaryota; Metazoa; Chordata; Mammalia; Artiodactyla; Camelidae
Description: tRNA-Ala (AGC) (tRNA-Ala-AGC-68-1)
Rfam family: tRNA
About the family: Transfer RNA (tRNA) molecules are approximately 80 nucleotides in length. Their secondary structure includes four short double-helical elements and three loops (D, anti-codon, and T loops). Further hydrogen bonds mediate the characteristic L-shaped molecular structure. tRNAs have two regions of fundamental functional importance: the anti-codon, which is responsible for specific mRNA codon recognition, and the 3' end, to which the tRNAs corresponding amino acid is attached (by aminoacyl-tRNA synthetases). tRNAs cope with the degeneracy of the genetic code in two manners: having more than one tRNA (with a specific anti-codon) for a particular amino acid; and 'wobble' base-pairing, i.e. permitting non-standard base-pairing at the 3rd anti-codon position.
Source: Rfam by way of RNAcentral